AAUCCAGCAGUGAUAUUCCCACAUUUGAACGUUCCGUUGCGGCAGUUCUGGAACAAAUGCUCAUACUCACGCUCAUAGUCGGGAGUGGUUAGUGAAACAGGGAUCCCAAGCAUGAUAAAUAAUAAACAAAACAGAGGAAGAGGCAGAGGUGAUGAGAAAGAAGGAGAAAUCAUUUUGAGGGCAGAGAGAUGGAGGAAGAAAGGGUUGAUUGCUUGCCUCAGCUCUAAUGAAAUAAAAUUAAAACCAAGCUCAAAGAAAGACUUGGAAUAUAGAGUAGUUGAGUUGACUUGCAAAGACUUUGAGCUUCCAUAAGUCGUGUCGUGUGGGUAUGGGUGUGGGUGUAGCUGUGAUUAAAUGGAAAUGCAAAAUUUCAAAAUAGAAACAAGAGAUGGAGACACUUUAACACGCUUUCGCUCCUUACGAACUUGCCCUCAACUUUCUCAACAGUUGGAAAUUGUUGUGUCAUAACCCUACUUCUUCAUUCAUAUUACUGUUGAAUAAUUCCUCCAGAAUAGUGCCCUCAAAAAUUAUGUUUUAAAGUUAAAAUGAAAUCUUUGAACGAAAACUUAAAAAUUAAUUAAGUUAUAUAAUAUUUAAAUAUUUAAAUAUAAUCAUAUAUAAAGUAUGAAUUUUAAAUAGGUUUUAAGUAAUUAAUAUAAAUUAUAAUUAAAUAUUUUAAAAACUUAAAUAUAAUAAUAAAUUAUAUUUAUAUAAUUUAAUAUAAUGAUACAUAAAGUAUAAAUUAAUUUAAUUUAAUAUGUACAUUUUAAAUAGUUAGUAUAAAUAAUAAUAUUAUGCGGAUAAAUUUUUUUUCCUUAUUUCUUUAUUCUAGUGGUUUAUCUUUUUAUAUUUAUUCCUUUUAUAAAGUAAUCAAUAUAAAAAAAUAAGUAUUUUUGUAGUUUUAUAUUUUUAUAAAAUCUAAAAAAGAAGCAAUUUGAAUUUCAAAUGAUUUAUAUGUCAUGGGAACAACCGAAGUACAAAAUCGAUACUUAAUAGACGAAACUCUCCUUGACGUCGUUUCAAAGAUUUUGUGCUUAAGUCUUUUACGAAGUUCUAUCAAAUUUAUGUUCUAGUUAAAAACUAGUCGCGUUGUGUUCUCCGAUAAAAAAAACAACACCGUUCUCGAUGUCACAGACCUCACCAUCAUAGUAAAUAAUAUCACUAAUACGUUCACUCAUCUUCAAUUUCUAUUAUGCUUAGCCUCUCUAAUUUUUCUUACUGUAACUUAUGCAAUAUGAGAAUGAAAUUUAACUCAUUUAUAGCCUAAGGCCAAGCAGGAACUAUUGUAGAAAAAGAGCGUCCACGUGGAAGCUUUUUUCAAUAAUUUUGCUGACAGUGCAUCUUACUUGAAGCGUUUUUGACACUAUUUUUUCAGAAUCGUCUUCUCAAAAUUAUUUUUUCAAGAACUACUGUAUAAAAAGAGCAUUCACGUGAGAGCUUUUUCAGUAAUUUUGCUGAUAGUGCAUCCUACUUGAAGCAUUUUUGACAUUAUCUUUUCAAAAUCGUCUUCACAAAAUAAUUUUUUUGAAACUACUGUAAAAAAAAUCUUUCUUGUCGAUAUAAACCCCUCUAAACCCUUAACCUAAACCCUUUUACAAAACCCCUAAUAGCUAAACACAAAAAUUAUUUUUUUUAAAAACUAAAGCCUAAUUUAAUUUAUUUAUUUAAAACCCCUAAAUCUAAUUUAAUUUAUUUAUUUAAAACCCCGAAAUCUAAUUUAAUUAAUUUAUUUAAAACCCUUAAAACCUAAUUUAAUUAUUUUUUAAAAAAAACUCUAAACCUUAAUUUAUUUUUAAAAUUUUUUAAACCCUAAAUAAGUAAAACUCUAAAUUAUUUUAACAAAAUAUUAACACUACAACCCUAAACUCACAAACCCUAGGCACGAAACAUGCAAAUAGCCUUAACCCUAGAAAAACACGGGCUAAAAACGCGUCCCUGAGGGUGUGAUUUUGCCAUGUUAGUAAAGCGCGUCUACGUAGUGCAUUUUGUGCUAACAUGGGAAAAUCGCUCCCUUAGGGACGCGUUUUGCUAGAAUUUCCCCUUAAAAUGUUUAUACGUGAACACUAUUUAUUUAUUCAAAUAUUUAUAGUUGAAUCAAAAUUAAAGUUUCAUUUAUAUACUUAAACUGUAAUUAAAAUUUCAAGUGUAUAAUAAUACUGAAUCAAAAUUUAAACAUUAAAAUGCACAUGAAAAUUCAUGUAUAACUUCAUAUAUAUCCCAUUUAAAUAACAAAUUUUUUUACAACUUUGAUAAUUAGGCUAGCUUAGCCAAUGUGAAUUUACAUACGAGUUUAAGUAAUAAUACAAUAGGAACAUAUAUCAAUGCAUGCUUUAAAAUUUAAAUGUCAGUCCUUAAAGAAAGUGAUUCACGCCUUAAAUAUUGUUUUAAUUUCUUUAUUAUAUUUUAUCUACCCAUAUGUUUUUUUUUAUUGAGAAUUUAUGUUGAAAAUUGUGAUUUUAACUUCAGAGGGACAAAAGCAAGUCACUCCAUUGCAAUCCUUAAAAUUUGAGGAUUCUACUUCACUAAUUUCAAUCUUAGUAGUAUUAGUAAUGAUAACAAAUAGAAAGGAUUGAUUGUCUCAACCACAAGAGUGGAAUGUGUAUCACAAAUAUUUCAAUACCAUAAGUGUACAUAUUAGAUAAUAAUAAUUACAAUGAAGGUAAAUUCGAGUUAGAAAUAGUUUCAACAUCGAAACCUAAGAGAUAAAUUUUAAGAACUAAAAGUAAUGAAUCACUCUAGAAUUAAUUAGGCACUCUAUCCAAACAAUCGAUGAUAACUAUGUUGAGUUAAAUUAAUUAAUUUAAAAUUGAAGAGAUGAUGGAGUAGAUAUGUAACACCUUGAAAUUUGAGGUUAGAAGUUUUGAGAUUUGUAGGUAGGGUCAGUGGCUAGAUCGGACAAUUGGGUUUGUUGUUGUGUUUUAUGUUAGAAUGGGCAUGCUGGUCUGGUGGUUUGUUGUGUGUUAAUUUGUUUCCUCGUGUGUGUUUAUGGGAGUAAUUUUAUUUUCGAUUUGUUUUUUUAGUUGCUAAAAUAUUUAUUAGUUUUAGCUAUUUUAAUUUAUUUUUAUUUUGAGAAUAGAAAAAAAAUCCCCAAAAGAAAAAAAGAGUGUUGCACGCUCUUCCCCUCUUCUCUAUUUUGUUCUUUGUGACUUUUCAAUUUUCUUUCUUCCUAAAAAGAAAAUAUUCAGUUUCUUUGGAUUCUUUGCUUAUUCCAUUUUAUCGUUGUUGUUGGUUGUCAAGGGAGUUUUAUUGUCCGGUGUUUGGUAAAUUAGAAGAGAAGAAGGUAGGUUUUGCUUAUGAGGAUUUUGAAAAUGUCUCUUUCGUUUUCUAUUUUGUUAUUGAAUUGAAGUUUUCGUUAUGUUAAUUGAGGUUUUUGAAUUGGUUUAGAGGAGUGAAUCGAAUGAUUCUGGUGUUUGCUAUCAGAACGAAUCGAAUGAUUCUGGUGUUUGCUAUCGCGUCUAUGGUGUAUGUUCAGAAACUCUUCGAUUCCUUAUUGAAUUGCUGCUUGAGUUCUGCGAAAAUUUAACAAUUUUUGUGUAUUUCCAAAAUUGACUGAUCUGACGUGUGGUUUUGGUUUUGAAUUGUUGUGAAUUAUGGGAAAUUUUGUAAUUUCUGGUAUGUUUUUGAGUUUAAGCAAUUGAAUGUCUAUUUGAUGGUGAAUUACAUGUUUUUCAGGCUAUUUCGGUAUAGUUUCUUGACCACAAGGGUGGCCACAGGGUGUGUGCCCCACACGGGCAGUUUAUAUGGCCGUGUGCAAUUAGGAAUUUAGGGUUUUCGAUCAUUUUUGGUGCCACAUGGUCUGGCCACAAGGGCAUGUGUCCCCACAUGGGCGUGUGAGAUCUCCACACAGUCGUGUCUCCUCUGUUCUUAAUUUUUAGCACUUUUGGACAGUGAGUUACAUGGGCUACUCACACGGGUGUGUGUUCCCUCCACACGGGCGUGUGUGGCCUUUAUAUAGGCAUGUAGACCCCCACAUGGCCUAGGCAUUUUCACACGGCCAUGUGGCCUUAUGUCUCCAAAUUUUGUACUGUGUCUAUUUUUUAUCUGAUUAUGAUUCUGUGUGUUUCGACCCUUAGCUAAGUCUUUGUACUAGUGGUGGGGACCUUGUUUCAACCUGGACUUGUGCGUUAUUCCCAAUCAUAGCUCUAAUUAAGCAAUUCAGUUGAGUGUUAAUUAAUGUUAUGUUAUAUCUUAUUUUGAUUCUGGGCAUUUGAAUGUGUGCAUUUCUAAUUUCAUACUCUGUUUCUGUAAGUCUAUCUUCGAAUAGUGUGCAUUUUGUAUUUGCAUUAAUUUUUUUUGGGUUUGGUUGUGAAGAGAAGGGAAUCUGAUCUAUUUUAACAAUUUCAACUGCAACAUGUCUGUACAACGGUUUACCGCAAUGCACAGUAAUACAUAUAUAUUAGCUACGUUGCAUAUUAACAUUUGAGUGGCUUAGUUCACAUAUUUGGUGUGUAGGGUUGGAUGGGCCUUUCGAGGUCCUAUGAGAUGUGCAUGGUUGGAUGAGCUUAAUUAGCUCUUUUUGGGAUGUGAUUAGUGGAUGGAGAGAUGUUUGGCUGGUUGGGUGGGUUUUUAUUACUUGUUGCAUUUUGAGGUGAUGAGAAAGAAGGAGAAAUCAUUUUGAGGGCAGAGAGAUGGAGGAAGAAAGGGUUGAUUGCUUGCCUCAGCUCUAAUGAAAUAAAAUUAAAACCAAGCUCAAAGAAAGACUUGGAAUAUAGAGUAGUUGAGUUGACUUGCAAAGACUUUGAGCUUCCAUAAGUCGUGUCGUGUGGGUAUGGGUGUGGGUGUAGCUGUGAUUAAAUGGAAAUGCAAAAUUUCAAAAUAGAAACAAGAGAUGGAGACACUUUAACACGCUUUCGC
Molecule: long non-coding RNA, 4854 nt
Filed under: Gossypium barbadense (sea-island cotton)
Lineage: Eukaryota; Viridiplantae; Streptophyta; Magnoliopsida; Malvales; Malvaceae
Description: long non-coding RNA (GBAR_LNC010157)
Source: RNAcentral